This 440-nucleotide ribosomal RNA is filed under the name uncultured bacterium. RNAcentral describes it as "partial 16S ribosomal RNA". It matches the Rfam family "Bacterial small subunit ribosomal RNA", at positions 338 to 795 of the family's 1533-position model. The record is from RNAcentral.
CCUACGGGAGGCAGCAGUGGGGAAUAUUGCACAAUGGGGGAAACCCUGAUGCAGCGACGCCGCGUGAGUGAAGAAGUAUUUCGGUACGUAAAGCUCUAUCAGCAGGGAAGAAAAUGACGGUACCUGACUAAGAAGCCCCGGCUAACUACGUGCCAGCAGCCGCGGUAAUACGUAGGGGGCAAGCGUUAUCCGGAUUUACUGGGUGUAAAGGGAGCGUAGACGGCAGCGCAAGGCUUGAGUGAAAUCCCAUGGCUUAACCAUGGGACUGCUUUUGAAACUGUGCAGCUAGAGUGCAGGAGAGGUAAGCGGAAUUCCUAGUGUAGCGGUGAAAUGCGUAGAUAUUAGGAGGAACACCAGUGGUGAAGGCGGCUUACUGGACUGUAACUGACGUUGAGGCUCGAAAGCGUGGGGAGCAAACAGGAUUAGAUACCCCAGUAGUC